UACGUAGGGGGCAAGCGUUAUCCGGAAUUACUGGGCGUAAAGGGAGCGUAGGCGGUUUGACAAGCCAGUGGUGAAAGGCAAUAGCUUAACUAUUGUAAGCCAUUGGAACUGUCGAACUUGAGUGCAGGAGAGGUAAGUGGAAUUCCUAGUGUAGCGGUGAAAUGCGUAGAUAUUAGGAGGAACACCAGUGGCGAAGGCGACUUACUGGACUGUAACUGACGCUGAGGCUCGAAAGCGUGGGGAGCAAACAGGAUUAGAUACCCUGGUAGUCCACGCUGUAAACGAUGAAUACUAGGUGUCAGGGGUCAAACCUUGGUGCCGCAGCUAACGCAUUAAGUAUUCCGCCUGGGGAGUACGCACGCAAGUGUG
RNAcentral lists this ribosomal RNA (369 nucleotides) under uncultured prokaryote. Its description in RNAcentral is "bacterial SSU rRNA". It matches the Rfam family "Bacterial small subunit ribosomal RNA", at positions 524 to 896 of the family's 1533-position model. The record is from RNAcentral.